GUGGGGAAUAUUGGACAAUGGGGGGAACCCUGAUCCAGCCAUGCCGCGUGUGUGAAGAAGGCCUUUUGGUUGUAAAGCACUUUAAGCGAGGAGGAGGCUACCGAGAUUAAUACUCUUGGAUAGUGGACGUUACUCGCAGAAUAAGCACCGGCUAACUCUGUGCCAGCAGCCGCGGUAAUACAGAGGGUGCGAGCGUUAAUCGGAUUUACUGGGCGUAAAGCGUGCGUAGGCGGCUUUUUAAGUCGGAUGUGAAAUCCCCGAGCUUAACUUGGGAAUUGCAUUCGAUACUGGGAAGCUAGAGUAUGGGAGAGGAUGGUAGAAUUCCAGGUGUAGCGGUGAAAUGCGUAGAGAUCUGGAGGAAUACCGAUGGCGAAGGCAGCCAUCUGGCCUAAUACUGACGCUGAGGUACGAAAGCAUGGGGAGCAAACAGGAUUAGAUACCCCUGUAGUCC
RNAcentral lists this ribosomal RNA (451 nucleotides) under uncultured bacterium. RNAcentral's name for it is "bacterial SSU rRNA". It matches the Rfam family "Bacterial small subunit ribosomal RNA", at positions 354 to 796 of the family's 1533-position model. The record is from RNAcentral.